Molecule: long non-coding RNA, 966 nt
Filed under: Androctonus crassicauda
Lineage: Eukaryota; Metazoa; Arthropoda; Arachnida; Scorpiones; Buthidae
Source: RNAcentral
CACAAAUCGUGAAAGCCUCGCGGGCUGCACAAAAUGGCUUGGCGGGCCGCCUUUUGGACAGCCCUGGUCUAAUCUAUUUAAAAGUUCUGAUUCUUUGUAUCUAAUCACAAGUUCUGCCAUAAUGCUCGCAAGGGGGCCGUCGAUGGGCACACCCCUUUUCUGUAUAUAGUAUUGUCCCUGAAAAACAUAGUAAGAGUUAUAGGUUAUUAGGUGAUAGGUGUCCCUCAGGAGGCUGGCACAUUCAUUAGAGGUUGGAACAUAUUGGAGCAAAAACCUGUAGAGCAUAAAAGACGCAGGCGCUUGCUCUACACUUGGAUAAAGGGAGUCAAAAUCCAUGACAGAAAACGUUUCAUUGGGGAACGGCCCGACCUCCAGGAGCUUAUCAAUGAAUUGAGUUGAAGAUCCCACAAUGUAGGGUAACCUUUCAGAUGCCUAAUGGCCCAUUUGCCGAUGGUCCUUUCUAAGCUUUAUAGGGGUGAAGACUUUUUGUUGACCAUGGGUUGGAUAGCAGGUGGAGCCUUGUGAGUCUUGACAUAGCCGAAAAGCCUGGGGGCAUAAGGCGCAGAGAUGUCUUUAACCUUCCAGAUAGUAGGAAAGGAUUUAGACCUGACAAUAUGGGCAACUGCACUCACUAACCUAUCCGGGUCGUAUCUUACUGGUUCUGAGCAAGAUUGCUCAAUAAAAGUGUGUAAGAGGCCAUUAUAUCUUUCUGACUCAAUAAGCACUACCUUCCUGGAUUUAUCGUCUCUUUUGCACGUAAUUGAGUUUGUCUUCAUCCAAUCUCUGGAGUAGGCUAUGGCAGCUCUAAGCCUAGUGCUUGUCAUAUGUUUUGAAACGUCUCCUGCCAUUUUUGCAUUAAUAACAUCCUAUUUCAACUUCUCUUUAUGGACCUCAUCAUAGUUGCUCAGUAGACAAUCUACGUGCAGCACCAUAUCACAGAUGGUGGGUAAGAUCUGUGGGACUGCU